RNAcentral lists this ribosomal RNA (472 nucleotides) under uncultured bacterium. RNAcentral's name for it is "bacterial SSU rRNA". It matches the Rfam family "Bacterial small subunit ribosomal RNA", at positions 8 to 526 of the family's 1533-position model. The record is from RNAcentral.
AGAGUUUGAUCAUGGCUCAGAACGAACGCUGGCGGCAGGCUUAACACAUGCAAGUCGAACGAUCUCUUCGGAGAUAGUGGCAGACGGGUGAGUAACGCGUGGGAAUAUACCUUUCGGUACGGAACAACAGUUGGAAACGACUGCUAAUACCGUAUGCGCCCUACGGGGGAAAGAUUUAUCGCCGAAGGAUUAGCCCGCGUUAGAUUAGCUUGUUGGUGAGGUAAAAGCUCACCAAGGCGACGAUCUAUAGCUGGUCUGAGAGGAUGAUCAGCCACACUGGGACUGAGACACGGCCCAGACUCCUACGGGAGGCAGCAGUGGGGAAUCUUGCACAAUGGGCGAAAGCCUGAUGCAGCCAUGCCGCGUGUGUGAUGAAGGCCCUAGGGUUGUAAAGCUCUUUCAGCGAGGAGGAUAAUGACGUUACUCGCAGAAGAAGCCCCGGCUAACUUCGUGCCAGCCGCCGCGGUAAUUC